RNAcentral lists this non-coding RNA (29 nucleotides) under Rattus norvegicus (Norway rat). The record is from RNAcentral. Lineage: Eukaryota; Metazoa; Chordata; Mammalia; Rodentia; Muridae.
UGCCAUCUUGGUGUUUACAUGGGGAAGGA